UUUCAUCAUGGCAAUCGGAAUAUUUUUUUUCAAAAAAAAAACGAAAAACGAAAAAAAUAAAUAAUAAUAAUAAUAAAUAAAUAAAUAAAUAAUCUUGGACUUGGACCUCUCUCAUUUAAGCCCACAGGUCCACAAAAAUCAGGUUAUAAAUUCAGAGUUUCAGUGAAACAAAAUUUCAUUCUAUUCCUAUUACCCUGUCUGGGAAAA
This 207-nucleotide long non-coding RNA is filed under the name Lathyrus oleraceus (garden pea). RNAcentral describes it as "Pisum sativum (pea) long non-coding RNA (PSAT_LNC035674)". Lineage: Eukaryota; Viridiplantae; Streptophyta; Magnoliopsida; Fabales; Fabaceae. The record is from RNAcentral.